This 348-nucleotide unclassified non-coding RNA is filed under the name soil metagenome. Its description in RNAcentral is "partial contains 5.8S ribosomal RNA, internal transcribed spacer 2, and large subunit ribosomal RNA". The stretch from base 1 to 120 matches the Rfam family "5.8S ribosomal RNA", at positions 35 to 154 of the family's 154-position model. The record is from RNAcentral.
GAUGAAGAACGCAGCGAAAUGCGAUAAGUAAUGUGAAUUGCAGAAUUCAGUGAAUCAUCGAGUCUUUGAACGCACAUUGCGCCCCCUGGUAUUCCGGGGGGCAUGCCUGUUCGAGCGUCAUUGCUGCCCUCAAGCACGGCUUGUGUGUUGGGCCCCCGCCCCCCGGCUUCGGGGGGCGGGCCCGAAAGGCAGCGGCGGCACCGCGUCCGGUCCUCGAGCGUAUGGGGCUUCGUCACCCGCUCUGUAGGCCCGGCCGGCGCCCGCCGGCGACCCCAAUCAAUCUUUCCAGGUUGACCUCGGAUCAGGUAGGGAUACCCGCUGAACUUAAGCAUAUCAAUAAGCGGAGGA